Molecule: long non-coding RNA, 1784 nt
Filed under: Astyanax mexicanus (Mexican tetra)
Lineage: Eukaryota; Metazoa; Chordata; Actinopteri; Characiformes; Acestrorhamphidae
Description: lncRNA (ENSAMXG00005021863.1)
Source: RNAcentral
AAAAAAAAAAAAAAAUCUCUUAUAAGGACGUUUUUACCUGGCUAUGUCCCAAUUCACUAGACAGGGCAGCAGUAGCAUAUUGGACCGCGACCCUGAUGACUCGGGUUUAAUACCGCAUGAGGAGCAAUUUGGGUUUACCUGCUUUGAGAUCAAAUGUUCUACAAUUGGGUUCAACAACCCUCUGGGCUGGAGAGCUACUAGUCUGUAGCACUCCAUCCCAUUACUCUUCAUUUUACAAAACUGAUUUGGAAACAGGCAUGGAAAUUAUCUGGCCCGCGGCCAAACUUAAUUGCCGACCCCUGAUCUAAGAGCUAUGGGAAAAGGCUGCCUGCUCUGAUGAUUCCUGAUGAGGUUUAUUUUCCAUCACAUGAGAGGCCAAGUCCGACCCUUGGGAGCUCCAUCUUCCAGGAGUGAUUUGCUUACAGCUUAUUUACAGUACAAUUUUUACAGUACUUGGACCUACAAGAAUCUGCUGCCAUAGUCUGGAUUAGUUGGUGAAGAGCACUUUCAGGACUUGGACUUGUUCCAGUUUACAAGUGGAACAUAAGCUAGAUGGCCUCCAGGUUGGCAUUGGCUCUGAGGGGGUUUGUACUUGUGUUUUUACUGGGCCCCAGUUGAACUUUUUCAAAUGGGUAAAGCCCCAUCAUUAUCAUGUCUCAAUCGCAAUGUCCAAACCUUUCUGGUCCCAUUUCUGACAUCUACACAUGGAACAAACACAAAAUCCAUAAACCAAACAUUCUUAUUCUCAGUCAGGCUACCCAUACAGGCUUCACACGUGCAUGUAAUAAUGGAUAGAGUGAGUUAUUUUGAGAACUAACAGAUACAGUAUAUUAGGCAGGUGGUCAUAAUCUUUUGGCUCAUUGGUGUGUAGUAACCAGAGCAAAAUCUCUGGGCCAUAACUUUAUCCCAACUUAACAAUAAGGUCAUAAACAAAAUCUAAUUAACAGAUGUGUUGUGAAAAACCCUUCUGUACCACUUCAUUUAUACAACAUGUGCAAUAACUAAUAAUACCCUUCUAAGCAAAACAAUUUGAAAAUGAUUUAGCUCUCAAUUUUAGAAGCUGUCUCAGUUUUUCUAUUUUUAGUUCUUUUGCUACAGUACAGUUUUUUUGCUUGCAUUUUGUGAAAGUAAGGCAAAAAAACAAAUCUUCACAAAGUAAUUCCCCAAAUUUCCUUCAAGCUACCCGCAGCUUAUUGGACUUUCAAGAAUUAUGCUUAUCAUUUUUGGCAAAACAUUUCAAACUCCUCUGUUUUUAAGCUGAACACUAUUCAAAUAGUGACAGCUCCAUUAGAUCAUAUCUUAGCAUGUGUAUUAGCAACAUUGUAGGUUGAACAAAACACUGACUUCAUCAAAAUCCCUUCAGAAGAGCUUACCUUCACUUUAAGAACUUCACUUAGUGUAGUCCACAAUUCAACAAGAUCAUCAUCAUAAUCUUCAACAUUAUCAUCAUUAUUAUUGACAUCUUUCGUUUGCAAUCUUUUUAGAGCAAAGCAUUACGCCAUGAUGAGUCAAUGAUCUGACAAAGUUAGCAUCAAAAACACAUGAUCAGUGACUGAAAUAUGAUAAUUGAUGAAUUUAUGCACUACAAAUUCCUUUACCAGUGUUGAAACUGUUCUCUAUGCAACAUCAACAUUGACACACCUUUACUUUAGAGAUGGCAAAGAUUUCUUUUCUUUCACUGUGUGAAUGAAAUCAAACAGACAUGAUUUCUUUUGAAAAGAAAUCUAAUGAAUGUAAUCAUGAACACAAAACUAACAAAAAAUAAAUCCACUGAAGCUGAUUCA